Molecule: ribosomal RNA, 732 nt
Filed under: uncultured Stenotrophomonas sp.
Lineage: Bacteria; Pseudomonadati; Pseudomonadota; Gammaproteobacteria; Lysobacterales; Lysobacteraceae
Description: bacterial SSU rRNA
Rfam family: Bacterial small subunit ribosomal RNA
Source: RNAcentral
AGUGAACGCUGGCGGUAGGCCUAACACAUGCAAGUCGAACGGCAGCACAGGAGAGCUUGCUCUCUGGGUGGCGAGUGGCGGACGGGUGAGGAAUACAUCGGAAUCUACCUUUUCGUGGGGGAUAACGUAGGGAAACUUACGCUAAUACCGCAUACGACCUACGGGUGAAAGUGGGGGACCGCAAGGCCUCACGCGAUUAGAUGAGCCGAUGUCCGAUUAGCUAGUUGGCGGGGUAAUGGCCCACCAAGGCGACGAUCGGUAGCUGGUCUGAGAGGAUGAUCAGCCACACUGGAACUGAGACACGGUCCAGACUCCUACGGGAGGCAGCAGUGGGGAAUAUUGGACAAUGGGCGCAAGCCUGAUCCAGCCAUACCGCGUGGGUGAAGAAGGCCUUCGGGUUGUAAAGCCCUUUUGUUGGGAAAGAAAUCCUAUCGGUUAAUAACCGGUGGGGAUGACGGUACCCAAAGAAUAAGCACCGGCUAACUUCGUGCCAGCAGCCGCGGUAAUACGAAGGGUGCAAGCGUUACUCGGAAUUACUGGGCGUAAAGCGUGCGUAGGUGGUGGUUUAAGUCCGUUGUGAAAGCCCUGGGCUCAACCUGGGAAUUGCAGUGGAUACCGGAUCACUAGAGUGUGGUAGAGGGAUGCGGAAUUUCUGGUGUAGCAGUGAAAUGCGUAGAGAUCAGAAGGAACAUCCGUGGCGAAGGCGGCAUCCUGGGCCAACACUGACACUGA